RNAcentral lists this ribosomal RNA (497 nucleotides) under uncultured bacterium. Its description in RNAcentral is "partial 16S ribosomal RNA". It matches the Rfam family "Bacterial small subunit ribosomal RNA", at positions 28 to 507 of the family's 1533-position model. The record is from RNAcentral.
GACGAACGCUGGCGGCGUGCCUAAUACAUGCAAGUUGAGCGAUGAAGAUUGGUGCUUGCACCAAUUUGAAGAGCAGCGAACGGGUGAGUAACGCGUGGGGAAUCUGCCUUUGAGCGGGGGACAACAUUUGGAAACGAAUGCUAAUACCGCAUAAUAACUUUAAACAUAAGUUUUAAGUUUGAAAGAUGCAAUUGCAUCACUCAAAGAUGAUCCCGCGUUGUAUUAGCUAGUUGGUGAGGUAAAGGCUCACCAAGGCGAUGAUACAUAGCCGACCUGAGAGGGUGAUCGGCCACAUUGGGACUGAGACACGGCCCAAACUCCUACGGGAGGCAGCAGUAGGGAAUCUUCGGCAAUGGACGAAAGUCUGACCGAGCAACGCCGCGUGAGUGAAGAAGGUUUUCGGAUCGUAAAACUCUGUUGAUAGAGAAGAACGUUGGUGAGAGUGGAAAGCUCAUCAAGUGACGGUAACUACCCAGAAAGGGACGGCUAACUACGUG